This 761-nucleotide ribosomal RNA is filed under the name uncultured bacterium. RNAcentral's name for it is "bacterial SSU rRNA". It matches the Rfam family "Bacterial small subunit ribosomal RNA", at positions 8 to 796 of the family's 1533-position model. The record is from RNAcentral.
AGAGUUUGAUCAUGGCUCAGAAUCAACGCUGGCGGCGCGCCUAACACAUGCAAGUCGAACGAGAAAGCCGCAAGGCAAGUAAAGUGGCGUACGGGUGAGUAACACGUGGAUAAUCUACCCUCUGGUGGGGAAUACCUCUGGGAAACCGGAGACAAUCCGCAUAAGCUCGGGAGAGGAAAGCGUCUUUAUGAAAGUAGAGAGGCGCCGGAGGAGGAGUCCGCGGUCGAUUAGUUAGUUGGCAGGGUAAGAGCCUACCAAGCUGUGAUCGAUAGCCGGCCUGAGAGGGCACACGGCCACACUGGCACUGAAACACGGGCCAGACUCCUACGGGAGGCAGCAGUGGGGAAUCUUGCACAAUGGGGGAAACCCUGAUGCAGCGACGCCGCGUGAGCGAUGAANNCUUCGGGGUGUAAAGCUCUUUCGUCAGGGAAGAUAGUGACGGUACCUGGAGAAGCAGCUGCGGCUAACUACGUGCCAGCAGCCGCGGUAAUACGUAGGCAGCAAGCGUUGUUCGGAGUUACUGGGCGUAAAGGGUGCGUAGGCGGCUGUUUAAGUUUGGUGUGAAAUCUCCCGGCUCAACCGGGAGGGUGCGCCGAAUACUGAGUGGCUAGAGUGCGGGAGAGGAAAGUGGAAUUCCUGGUGUAGCGGUGAAAUGCGUAGAUAUCAGGAGGACCCGGUGGUGUAAACGGCUUUCUGGACCGUAACUGACGCUGAGGCACGAAAGCGUGGGUAGCAAACAGGAUUAGAUACCCUAGUAGUCC